This 450-nucleotide ribosomal RNA is filed under the name Fusarium lateritium. RNAcentral describes it as "eukaryotic LSU rRNA". The stretch from base 105 to 258 matches the Rfam family "5.8S ribosomal RNA". Lineage: Eukaryota; Fungi; Ascomycota; Sordariomycetes; Hypocreales; Nectriaceae. The record is from RNAcentral.
CACUGAGGGGAGGAAGGCUCCCCAGAAAACGGUACGGCCCGCCAGAGGACCAAAGUCUAAUGUUUCUUAUUGUAACUUCUGAGUAAAACAAACAAAUAAAUCAAAACUUUCAACAACGGAUCUCUUGGUUCUGGCAUCGAUGAAGAACGCAGCAGAAUGCGAUAAGUAAUGUGAAUUGCAGAAUUCAGUGAAUCAUCGAAUCUUUGAACGCACAUUGCGCCCGCUGGAAUUCCGGCGGGCAUGCCUGUUCGAGCGUCAUUUCAACCCUCAAGCCCCCGGGUUUGGUGUUGGGGAUCGGCUCUGCCUCACGGCGGUGCCGCCCCCGAAAUACAUUGGCGGUCUCGCUGCAGCCUCCAUUGCGUAGUAGCUAACACCUCGCAACUGGAACGCGGCGCGGCCAUGCCGUAAAACCCCAACUUCUGAAUGUUGACCUCGGAUCAGGAAGGAAUA